RNAcentral lists this ribosomal RNA (2993 nucleotides) under Proteus mirabilis. Its description in RNAcentral is "23S ribosomal RNA". It matches the Rfam family "Bacterial large subunit ribosomal RNA". The record is from RNAcentral. Lineage: Bacteria; Pseudomonadati; Pseudomonadota; Gammaproteobacteria; Enterobacterales; Morganellaceae.
GGGUUGUGAGGUUAAGCGAAUAAGCGUACACGGUGGAUGCCUAGGCAAUCAGAGGCGAUGAAGGACGUGCUAAUCUGCGAAAAGCGUCGGUAAGGUGAUAUGAACCGUUAUACCCGACGAUAUCCGAAUGGGGAAACCCAGUAUCCAAUGGAUACUAUCAUUAACUGAAUCCAUAGGUUAAUGAGGCGAACCGGGAGAACUGAAACAUCUCAGUACCCCGAGGAAAAGAAAUCAACCGAGAUUCCCCUAGUAGCGGCGAGCGAACGGGGAGCAGCCCAGAGUCUUAAUCAAUAGCAGUGUCAGGAGAACGGUCUGGAAAGUCCGGCAGUAAAGGGUGAUAGCCCCGUAUCUGAAGAUGCUGUUAUUGUGAACUCGACGAGUAGGGCGGGACACGUGUUAUCCUGUCUGAAUAUGGGGGGACCAUCCUCCAAGGCUAAAUACUCCUGAUUGACCGAUAGUGAACCAGUACCGUGAGGGAAAGGCGAAAAGAACCCCGGCGAGGGGAGUGAAAAAGAACCUGAAACCGUGUACGUACAAGCAGUAGGAGCCNNNNNNNNNNNNNNNNNNNNNNNNNNNNNNNNNNNNNNNNNNNNNNNNNNNNNNNNNNNNNNNNNNAUGGGGUGACUGCGUACCUUUUGUAUAAUGGGUCAGCGACUUAUAUUCUGUAGCAAGGUUAACCGUAUAGGGGAGCCGUAGGGAAACCGAGUCUUAACUGGGCGAAUGAGUUGCAGGGUAUAGACCCGAAACCCGGUGAUCUAUCCAUGGGCAGGUUGAAGGUUGGGUAACACUAACUGGAGGACCGAACCGACUAAUGUUGAAAAAUUAGCGGAUGACUUGUGGAUGGGGGUGAAAGGCCAAUCAAACCGGGAGAUAGCUGGUUCUCCCCGAAAGCUAUUUAGGUAGCGCCUCGUGAACUCAUCUUCGGGGGUAGAGCACUGUUUCGACUAGGGGGUCAUCCCGACUUACCAACUCGAUGCAAACUGCGAAUACCGAAGAAUGUUAUCACGGGAGACACACGGCGGGUGCUAACGUCCGUCGUGAAGAGGGAAACAACCCAGACCGCCAGCUAAGGUCCCAAAGUCAUGGUUAAGUGGGAAACGAAGUGGGAAGGCUCAGACAGCCAGGAUGUUGGCUUAGAAGCAGCCAUCAUUUAAAGAAAGCGUAAUAGCUCACUGGUCGAGUCGGCCCGCGCGGAAGAUGUAACGGGGCUAAACCAUGCACCGAAGCUGCGGCAGCGACACAAUGUGUUGUUGGGUAGGGGAGCGUUCUGUAAGCCUGCGAAGGUGUACUGUGAGGUAUGCUGGAGGUAUCAGAAGUGCGAAUGCUGACAUAAGUAACGAUAAUGCGGGUGAAAAACCCGCACGCCGGAAGACCAAGGGUUCCUGUCCAACGUUAAUCGGGGCAGGGUGAGUCGACCCCUAAGGCGAGGCUGAAAAGCGUAGUCGAUGGGAAACGGGUUAAUAUUCCCGUACUGGUGGUAACUGCGAUGGGGGAACGGAGAAGGCUAGGUUGUCCGGGCGACGGUCGUCCCGGUUCAAGCAGGUAGGCAGAGUGAUUAGGCAAAUCCGGUCACUUAAUGCUGAGAUGUGAUGACGAACCACUAAGGUGGUGAAGCAAUUGAUGCCCCGCUUCCAGGAAAAGCCUCUAAGCUUCAGGUUACCAACAAUCGUACCCCAAACCGACACAGGUGGUCAGGUAGAGAAUACUCAGGCGCUUGAGAGAACUCGGGUGAAGGAACUAGGCAAAAUGGUGCCGUAACUUCGGGAGAAGGCACGCUGGCGGUAGGUAAAGUCCCUCGCGGACGGCGCUGAAGCCAGUCGAAGAUACCAGCUGGCUGCAACUGUUUAUUAAAAACACAGCACUGUGCAAACACGAAAGUGGACGUAUACGGUGUGACGCCUGCCCGGUGCUGGAAGGUUAAUUGAUGGGGUUAGCCGCAAGGCGAAGCUCCUGAUCGAAGCCCCAGUAAACGGCGGCCGUAACUAUAACGGUCCUAAGGUAGCGAAAUUCCUUGUCGGGUAAGUUCCGACCUGCACGAAUGGCGUAAUGAUGGCCAGGCUGUCUCCACCCGAGACUCAGUGAAAUUGAACUCGCUGUGAAGAUGCAGUGUACCCGCGGCAAGACGGAAAGACCCCGUGAACCUUUACUAUAGCUUGACACUGAACAUUGAGCCUUGAUGUGUAGGAUAGGUGGGAGGCUUUGAAGUGUGGACGCCAGUCUGCAUGGAGCCAACCUUGAAAUACCACCCUUUAACGUUUGAUGUUCUAACCUAGGCCCAUAAACUGGGUCGGGGACCGUGUCUGGUGGGUAGUUUGACUGGGGCGGUCUCCUCCUAAAGAGUAACGGAGGAGCACGAAGGUUGGCUAAGCAUGGUCGGACAUCAUGCGGUUAGUGCAAAGGCAUAAGCCAGCUUGACUGCGAGAGUGACGGCUCGAGCAGGUACGAAAGUAGGUCUUAGUGAUCCGGUGGUUCUGAAUGGAAGGGCCAUCGCUCAACGGAUAAAAGGUACUCCGGGGAUAACAGGCUGAUACCGCCCAAGAGUUCAUAUCGACGGCGGUGUUUGGCACCUCGAUGUCGGCUCAUCACAUCCUGGGGCUGAAGUAGGUCCCAAGGGUAUGGCUGUUCGCCAUUUAAAGUGGUACGCGAGCUGGGUUUAGAACGUCGUGAGACAGUUCGGUCCCUAUCUGCCGUGGGCGUUGGAAGAUUGAGAGGGGUUGCUCCUAGUACGAGAGGACCGGAGUGAACGCACCACUGGUGUUCGGGUUGUCAUGCCAAUGGCAUUGCCCGGUAGCUAAGUGCGGAAGAGAUAACCGCUGAAAGCAUCUAAGCGGGAAACUUGCCUCGAGAUGAGUCUUCCCUGUCGCUUUAAGCGACCUAAAGGAACGUUUAAGACUAAGACGUUGAUAGGCUGGGUGUGUAAGCGUAGCGAUACGUUGAGCUAACCAGUACUAAUGAACCGUGAGGCUUAACCUGACAACACCGAAAGUGUUUUG